UACGUAGGUGGCAAGCGUUGUCCGGAUUUACUGGGUGUAAAGGGCGUGCAGCCGGAGAGACAAGUCAGAUGUGAGAUCCACGGGCUCAACCCGUGAACUGCAUUUGAAACUGUUUCCCUUGAGUGUCGGAGAGGUAAUCGGAAUUCCUUGUGUAGCGGUGAAAUGCGUAGAUAUAAGGAAGAACACCAGUGGCGAAGGCGGAUUACUGGACGAUAACUGACGGUGAGGCGCGAAAGCGUGGGGAGCAAACAGG
RNAcentral lists this ribosomal RNA (253 nucleotides) under uncultured bacterium. Its description in RNAcentral is "partial 16S ribosomal RNA". It matches the Rfam family "Bacterial small subunit ribosomal RNA", at positions 524 to 776 of the family's 1533-position model. The record is from RNAcentral.